CAUCUAUGACCGCAAUAAUACAUCUAAUGUUAAAGCAGUUCUUACAUACAUAUCUUGAUCAACAAUUACUCUUGCUAGAGAUUUUCGAAAUAAAUCUUCAAAUGGCUUUGAGAGAUAUCUUAUUCUAUGGAAUAAUUACCAGAAGGUGAUAGAUUACUUAUUGCACAUUCAUGUAUCUUUAUACUCAUACAUAUGAACUUGAAUACCACACUAUAAAGCCCUGCGAUUUGAUUGAGGGCUUUAAGGUGAAAUCAAAAUUCAUACAUGCAAAUAUAAGAUACCUACGAUGCCUAGUCUAAGAACUAUUUGCUUACUACAACUAGAAGCUUUGGAACGUUUAACAUUUAGUAAGCAUCUAUACGUUAAACUUCUUGGACGGUCAGUGUUUAAUGAAGUUGUCCAAUAGACAAGCACUUGUAUAUCCAUAACGGAGUCUAACAUGCAUAGCAUGAGACCAUGCUAACUCUAAUGCGAUGUACACCGGCCUUUUCGAAUAAUCAAUACCCAGUUGACUUUUCAAAUGGCUAGAAAAUUAGUUCAAAGACUAACUGACUAUGAGAUACAAGUCUCCGUGCCCUAACCUUGUUUAAGACAUAUCGUAUAUACCUUAAGUCCUAUGAACUCAUUCAUAGUACACUAUCUCUAUAAUAUAAAGUCAAACUCAUGAAUGAAUAAUACUUGCCUUUUGUUGCAGGACAUUCAUGUCCGUCCACUAAUUGGUGACAAAUGGGUGAUUGAUUCCUCAAAUGAAUAGGCCAUUCAUUUCUCAAUUAACUGUUAUAACUGUUAGGCCAUUCAUUUCUCAAUGGAUUAGGCAAUUGAUUCUCCCUAUUGAUUAAAGGUAUUUGUGUUAUUUGCAAGUGUUUGUACCAUACUUGACCAAUCCCGAAACUACUGAGCACCGGUCAACGUUAUACCGUCAAGGACCCAGAAGAGCUUCCCUUCAACCAGGAGGCCAAUCACAAUGUGACACGUGUCGACAUCAGAAGCCAAUCACAGCUCGACACGUGUCAACAUCAGAAGCCAAUCACAACACGACACGUGUCAAUGUUAGAACAAAACUAGAAACUCUCUUCUAUAAAUAGGGAUCAUUCUCCCACAAUAAUCUCAAAUGUCAUUUUGUACUAAACUAUUCACUAGAACUCACAAAAUGAGAGCUUGAACCUAUGUAUUUGUGUAAAC
RNAcentral lists this long non-coding RNA (1182 nucleotides) under Malus domestica (apple). Its description in RNAcentral is "long non-coding RNA (MDOM_LNC000496)". The record is from RNAcentral. Lineage: Eukaryota; Viridiplantae; Streptophyta; Magnoliopsida; Rosales; Rosaceae.